This 2063-nucleotide long non-coding RNA is filed under the name Nicotiana tabacum (common tobacco). Its description in RNAcentral is "long non-coding RNA (NTAB_LNC008062)". The record is from RNAcentral. Lineage: Eukaryota; Viridiplantae; Streptophyta; Magnoliopsida; Solanales; Solanaceae.
CAGCCGCCCACCCCUUUCCUCUCUUGGACAAAAUUCCAACUCACUUUCACUAUUUUCGUCAAAUUCUUCAUUCUCUCUAUUGCAUAUUCAAUGAAAAGCCGAAAACUUUUGUAUCAAAGUUGACCAAAUCGCUAGUUCUCUGAAGCAAGAGGACGAUUUUGUUGAUCUUCUUUCUGUCACAAUUUGGAUGAAUCUUGAACGAGCAAUUUUGAAUUUCAAAUGGAUCUUUCAAUUCCCGCUUCCAAAACCCUAGUUUUCUCCUAUAAAUACUCCUCAACUCUCCAGCCGAAAGAUCAUCUGGGAAUCCUCAAAAAAUAGUUAGAACACGGCAAAAUCGAGUCAACAAGUAAUUCUCUUCUUUAAUCUGUCUCUAUUUAGUUCGCUAAAACAAAGUUUCAAUCUUGUUACGUGGAGGGAGUAGAUCUGAAAUCUCAAAGUUCUAGUUCACUGCCUCUAAAAAGGUCAAUAAUUUUAAAAUCUGUUCUUCCUACUUUUCUUUCUUUAUAUCACGAGUAAGUGUUUGGUUUAUGUCUAAGAUGUAUGAUUUAGUUUGUUUCUCUACAUAGAAAUUAUAUUGUAGAUUCUUCAUUUGGAUUGUUUUCGAAAUUAUAAAAAAAGAAAAUGGUUAAGUUUAAAUGUGUUUUUUGUAUUAUUAAGAUCUUGAUUUGAAUGUGUAUUUUGCAAAAGUUAUAUAUUAAGAUUUUAUUUAGAAAUCAUGUUUUAGGAAUGGUUCUCUGAUUUAUUACAUAAAUAUGGUAGGAUGAAAAUGUACUCUUUCUGUGUUUAAGAUAUGGUGUAUAAAACACUAAUAUAGAUGUACUUUUGAAAGCAUGCUUAUUAGGAUUGUGAAUCUAAUUAUUUUGUUGAAGACACCUUGAAUCUAAUACCUGUCAUAGGGAAUAUUUUUAUUUUUUUAACACUAUUUAUUGGUAAAAUCAUGUCCAUUUGAGUAAAAUAUAUGUCCAAAUUGGUGAUAUAUGACUGUGUUCUUCUGUGUUUAUACAUUGUCGGAUAUCAUGCAUGCCCAUGACUCUUUUAUGUAUCUCUAUGCUAGAUAUAUUCUUUCUGCAUAGUGAAUGAAUUUAAAAUCAUGGUUUAAGCCUAUGUUAUGUUAGAGACAGUGCACUUAGGAUAUCAGUUAGCCAGUGACGAAAUGGAUUGGAAAUUUACCAUAUCUACUUUAUGAAAAACAAGUAUGUCUUCACUGAUAUGUACAACAUAAGUGUUUAAGCAUAAACUUGUUUAAUAAUUUAUUGUUUAGAGUAGCAUGUCAUAAAAAUCUGAUUCUCGUCAAUUUUAGUCAUUUAGUUGUAAAGACUUGUAUAUGAAUUUUCUGUUAAAGCUUUCCUUUGAUAUUUGACGGUGAAAGAUUGUAUGAAAUCCUUGAAUAGUAAUUUUCCCUUUAUUUCGUAAAAGAAUCUUGGCUCUAUUACCUUACUGAUUGUAUACGCCUAAUAAGUAUUAACUAGGAUAGUCAUCUUUGUUUUAGCCAUUGAAGAGUAGUGUUCUGUCUAAACUUUCUUUGUGUUUUGAUUUUUAUACAUGAUGUUAAGAUUCAGACUUCUCCUUCUAAUCUCUAUUUCCCUUUUUAUCUUGUUUACAUAUACACUUUGGAGCAAUUUUUUGAGUCUCAAUGCGAGACUCGUUGUUGCCAUGAAGUCGUCGCUGCUGCGUUUCCUCUACCAUAUUUCUCCUUCAUAGACCUGAUUAUUCGUGUGGGAUAGACGCAAGAAAAAUGCCAAAGUUAAUUUUGGUCAUCCCUAGAAAGGGGUUGGAUUAUCAUUGUUAUUCGACAUUUUAUUUUCUAUUAACUGCUUUUUAUAUAUUUUGUUUACUAUCACUCUUAGUUAAUUCUUGCAUGAACGUGUAAGGGUAACCAAUACAGUUAAAAUUGAAUUAGUUAUCCCAACAACACCUACCUGUCUAAGUAGUGCUUAUGAAAUUAGUUUAACUGAAUAAUGGUUAAGUCAAUAUGGGUUGAUCCUAGUUUUAGUCCAAUUAGAAUUUUGCCCCUACUGAGUAUUCUUUUUGCAAUACUCAAGCUAACUAUCUUGUAAAUCAAU